CGGAUGGAUCAUUUCGAUGAAAACCUUUUUUCUUGAGGUGUGGCUCGCACCUGUCUAACUAAAAUGAGCUACCUUUUUUAACACGGUUGCAUCGGUUGGCUGUCAAACAGUGCGCGGCAAAUUUGGAUAUUCAUUUAUUCUUCGCUGCGCGCUUGGGAGACGGUCGACACUUUACCAUAAACACUGUUGAUACCAUAGGAUUUGAACGUAGAUGAACUCGACUGGUAAUGCGGUCGUCUAAAUCUAAAAACAACUUUUGGCAACGGAUCUCUUGGUUCUCCCAUCGAUGAAGAACGCAGCGAAUUGCGAUAAGUAAUGUGAAUUGCAGAAGUGAAUCAUCGAAUCUUUGAACGCACCUUGCGCUCCCGGCAGAUCUAAUCUGGGGAGCAUGCCUGUUUGAGGGCCGCGAAUUGUUUCGAACGACAGCUUUCUUGUUUAUUCGAGAGGGCUGGCGGAUCGGUAUUGAGGGUCUUGCCAUUUUCCACAGUGGCUCCCUCGAAAUGCAUUAGCGCAUCCAUUCGAUAGGCAAGACGGACGAAAGCUCGUUGUUUCGCCCACGUCUUUCCCCUGCCGGGUUUUGAUAAUAUCAGGACUUCGGAGAGGAAGGCGGAGGGUCGAGGAGCUGGACGCGACGUUUUGCUGGUUGGAGUGCUUCUGAACCCCGCCCAUGCCUCGCAAGAGGAAGGGAAGAUUAAUUUCAAUUCAUCGGCCUCAGAUUGGUAGGACUACCCGCUGAACUUAAGCAUAUCAU
RNAcentral lists this ribosomal RNA (751 nucleotides) under Moesziomyces parantarcticus. RNAcentral describes it as "eukaryotic LSU rRNA". The stretch from base 252 to 406 matches the Rfam family "5.8S ribosomal RNA". The record is from RNAcentral. Lineage: Eukaryota; Fungi; Basidiomycota; Ustilaginomycetes; Ustilaginales; Ustilaginaceae.